RNAcentral lists this ribosomal RNA (253 nucleotides) under uncultured bacterium. Its description in RNAcentral is "partial 16S ribosomal RNA". It matches the Rfam family "Bacterial small subunit ribosomal RNA", at positions 524 to 776 of the family's 1533-position model. The record is from RNAcentral.
UACGGAGGAUCCAAGCGUUAUCCGGAAUCAUUGGGUUUAAAGGGUCCGUAGGCGGUUUUGUAAGUCAGUGGUGAAAGCCCAUCGCUCAACGGUGGAACGGCCAUUGAUACUGCAAGACUUGAAUUAUUAGGAAGUAACUAGAAUAUGUAGUGUAGCGGUGAAAUGCUUAGAUAUUACAUGGAAUACCAAUUGCGAAGGCAGGUUACUACUAGUGGAUUGACGCUGAUGGACGAAAGCGUGGGGAGCGAACAGG